CCUACGGGAGGCAGCAGUGAGGAAUAUUGGUCAAUGGACGAGAGUCUGAACCAGCCAAGUAGCGUGAAGGAUGACUGCCCUAUGGGUUGUAAACUUCUUUUAUAUGGGAAUAAAAUGUUCCACGUUUGGGAUUUUGUAUGUACCAUAUGAAUAAGGAUCGGCUAACUCCGUGCCAGCAGCCGCGGUAAUACGGAGGAUCCGAGCGUUAUCCGGAUUUCUUGGGUUUAAAGGGAGCGUAGGUGGAUUGUUAAGUCAGUUGUGAAAGUUUGCGGCUCAACCGUAAAAUUGCAGUUGAAACUGGCAGUCUUGAGUACAGUAGAGGUGGGCGGAAUGCGUGGUGUAGCGGUGAAAUGCUUAGAUAUCACGAAGAACUCCGAUUGCGAAGGCAGCUCACUGGACUGCAACUGACACUGAGGCUCGAAAGUGUGGGUAUCAAACAGGAUUAGAUACCCCUGUAGUC
Molecule: ribosomal RNA, 460 nt
Filed under: uncultured bacterium
Lineage: Bacteria
Description: partial 16S ribosomal RNA
Rfam family: Bacterial small subunit ribosomal RNA
Source: RNAcentral